Molecule: ribosomal RNA, 253 nt
Filed under: uncultured bacterium
Lineage: Bacteria
Description: partial 16S ribosomal RNA
Rfam family: Bacterial small subunit ribosomal RNA
Source: RNAcentral
UACGGGGGGGGCAAGCGUUGUUCGGAAUUACUGGGCGUAAAGGGCUCGUAGGUGGCCAACUAAGUCAGACGUGAAAUCCCUCAGCUUAACUGGGGAACUGCGUCUGAUACUGGAUGGCUUGAGUUUGGGAGAGGGAUGCGGAAUUCCGCGUGUAGCAGUGAAAUGCGUAGAUAUGCGGAGGAACACCGAUGGCGAAGGCAGUCCCCUGGGCCUGUACUGACGCUCAUGCACGAAAGCGUGGGGAGCAAACAGG